Neocloeon triangulifer is the source of this 2608-nucleotide long non-coding RNA. RefSeq lists it as uncharacterized. The record is from RefSeq and is a predicted model, not a curated record. The transcript has 8 exons. NCBI's taxonomy places the organism in Eukaryota, Metazoa, Arthropoda, Insecta, Ephemeroptera, Baetidae.
UUAUUUUGUCAACAAAGAUAGCAGGCGAUAAAAAUGACUUUAUGUACAACCUCUUAUAUAUUCGCAGCUUAUUCCUUAUUAUCCUUAGGGCAAUGUUCCCCAAUCUACCUUUGCACUUCGGAGGGCGAGAGAAAUGCGCUUAGCCAAAGACACGGAGAAUGAAAGGCGCAAUAAGGACACGUAUGAGGGCCAGUUUUCUCUUGGUCAGAGGCAAGGUCUUCCGGAUAUUUCGCUUUAAAGUUGUUAAUUAAAAUUUCUGACGAGUCCAGAGAUGAGAGCGACGAGAACACCAGCUUCCUUGGAGCGAGAGAAAUGAGAUUGGCCAAGGACACGGAGAUGGAAAGACGGUUCUGCCUAGUUAAGAGUGUUAAGACACUUAUGAGGGCCAGUAUGUACAUGGUCUGAGGCAAGGUCCUGGCACCUACAAAGUCUCGCAAAGAAGGGCAAGGCAACUAUGAGGUCAAGAGUGGAGCCAGGGAAUGCGCUGUGAAUUUGGCACCUUCAAUUACUCUGAUGGUUCCAAAUACAAAGGCUUUUCGGCAAAAGACCAAUUGCGCUGCUGAGGAGCCAUGCUUUUCCAAAUUCAAGAUAACUGUGGACUGGGGAAUUCUGGCCUUCGAGACGACACCUCAGGCAACUUGAAAUACCCUACAUUCAUAAAGAAGGCAAUGUGCUGGCCAAAACUAUAAGGGCAAGUGGAGCAAAGGAAUGUGCAGUGGAUUUGACACCUUUAAAUACUCUUAUGGCUCCAAAUAUAUGAUUGCUUUUGGGAAAAAGACAAACACCAUGGCCGAGACGAGUUAUGCUUUUUGCCAACGGCCAGGAGAACUGUGGCCUGUGGAGUGGAAGUCUGGCCUUCGAGACUGCACCACAGGCAUCCUGAAAUACCCUGGCGCCCUUUACAUCGUGGUUGGAAAGAUGGAACCAUGCACGGACCAGGUGCGGUUGUGUAUGAAGCACCGGCGCCUGCUAUCUACGUCUUUUCUGGCAUGGUAGCAUGGAAAAGUGAGUGCACUAGUGCAGAAAAAAGCACCUUUUAAAACUUACAAUCAGCUCACUUGAAUUCACUGACAUGAAUUUGCACGCCGCAUAAUUAUGCAGCAACAAAUUUUUUUAAUUGACUUUUGUAUCCAAGUUCAGACUAACAAUUGCAAGAGAAAUGAUUUUGGUCAAAGACAUGGAGAAGGAAAGGUCCAAUAAGAAAGCUAGUGGCGGUAAGUGGCCAGUUUUACUCCUGUGGUCUGAGUGAGGCAAGGUCUCGGUACCUACAAUAAAUUUACAAAGAAGGCAACGUCCUGGCCAACUAUAAGGGCAAUUGGAGCGAAGGAAUGUGCAGUGGAUUUGGCAGCUUCAAAUGCUCUGAUGGCCCCAAAUAUAAAAAGUUUUGUAACCUUGUAAACUCUUGUGCACUAAAUUUAUUUUAUUUUCUGACAAAGUUAUUUAAGGCUUUUGGGAGAAAGACCAAUGCCGGGAAUGGAGAGUCGUGCAUUUUUCCAACGGCCAAGAGUACUGUGGCCUGUGGAAGGCUGGCCUUCAAGACAACACCACAGACAUCCUGAAAUACCCUGGCGCCCUUUACAUCGGUGGUUGUAAAGAUGGAACCAUGCACGGACCAGGUACGGUUGUGUAUGAAGCACCGACGCCUGCUGUCUGCGUCAUUUCUUGCUGGGAAAAUGGAAAAGUGGUUGUAGAAGAAAGCGCCUGUCAAAAUUGAUGUAGGCAAACUGGUAAACAGCUGGAAGCAAACUUUUCUCAACAAAUCUCAUCAGCUAAAUAUCUGAAGAAGCCGAGAGGACGGAGUUGUUGCAAGGGAGCUUUACUUUCUGAAGGGAAACUUCUUUUUUAACGAUGAGUGGCGCAUCUCAAGCCACCACCCCAUUUCUGAACUGGAGGGGCAUAUCCAAGGCUCCCCCUUUAAGAGAAUCUUUGAUGUGCUUCGUCCUGCUGCUCAGAUGGUCAAAUCUAAAUUUUAAAUUGAGAGCUUUCUUCUUGUGGUGGUUUGCUGCCCCUUCAAGACACAUAUUAUUGAGAAGCAGGCGCAGUGACCACCUGUGCUUUUUGAGUUCCUUCCGAAAGGAGGAGGAUCAGUACCAGUACCCAAAAAAAAGUACUUUUGAUUGCCUUACCCCAUUUGAGGUCGACCCUGAAGCCGUUGGCCAUGAGCAGCUGUACAAGUCGAGGCUUGCUCAGAGUGGUCAGGUAAGCCAAAGUAGGCACCUCUUCUCCUUGAAGAAUUUCAUCGAUUUCCUCACAUCCAGAUGUUUUAAGCACCUAAAAUUUGAUAAAAAUGGUCAUUUUCACUAUGACUGCACAAAAAGUAAACUUAAUACUUUCUGAAAGUUAUUUUUCUGUUGUUUAUGUAGUAAAAUUAUUAACACAAAAUAUAAUUACCGGGGCACCAGCAUUAUUUGCUUGAGCUUGCAUGGUGUUUCAAAUAUGGAUGUGCGCACCGAUGUCCGUGUCCGAAGAGAUCCUACGAUUUUGACAGUGACCUAAAAGUUGCUGUGUGAAUGCUUAUAACAAAGAUAUUUUUGUGUCUAAGUCUGAAUUUUGAAAUUUUUUAGCUAGCACGAAUUAUUUAUUUAGUUAAUUGCUAAUCCUUUCCCCU